Non-coding RNA from Neurospora crassa OR74A, 764 nucleotides. The record is from RefSeq and is a predicted model, not a curated record. Lineage: Eukaryota; Fungi; Ascomycota; Sordariomycetes; Sordariales; Sordariaceae.
AGGCCUGGUCCCCUCCUCGGGUAUACUUCUUCUUCUGUCACGCCGUCUACAGGGAACUUUGUUAUCGCCCUUUCAUACUGUGAUGACCCUAUUUCAGUGACAAAUCCUAACUAGCAGUCCUAGGUAUCCAAGGUCCGAAGCUAUGACUAACGCGCCGACAAACAAAAGGUGACUGACCGGACCGAACCGAACCGUAUAAAAGUCAGACAUGUCAAGAUACGAAUGCGGAGCGGCGAGCACACAACGAACGAUGACAGGACCUCCCUCCCUCCCACUCUCUCAAAGCACCAUGAUCGUUUCGUUUCCAACAAUCAAGCUCAAAGUGCUUACUGCGUACUGCCGUACGAGGGGUACGUAUAUUACAUACCUCCCUCGAUAUCACCUUAUACAGCAUCCCACAUUUUACCGUGUUUGGUACGGUGGCUGGUAUUAUGGAUGGGUCGCCUUAUCAGCACAGGGAAGGGUUCCAUCGCUGCUUCUAGAAGCUCUGCAGCUAUAUCGCCCGGAUAAUAUAGGCCAAAUCAGGGGGGGGGGGGGGGGGGGCGGACGGCAGGCUCCAUGUACACUACAUACGUACAUACGUCCUGUAUGUAUGGAACUGUGAGAUCAGGAAAGUGCAUAUGUACCGUGUCCUCAUGUCAGAACUACUGGAUCACAGGACUUCCAAUGGGGCAGAUGCUGGUGAGCGACAUUGUCCUUUGUCGCUAGCGUUCGACAACGGAGACCUGUCCCUUCUAGUUCAUUCUUGUAUCACCGAAAACCGC